Molecule: ribosomal RNA, 1420 nt
Filed under: Listeria monocytogenes
Lineage: Bacteria; Bacillati; Bacillota; Bacilli; Caryophanales; Listeriaceae
Description: partial 23S ribosomal RNA
Rfam family: Bacterial large subunit ribosomal RNA
Source: RNAcentral
UUGGUUAAGUUAGAAAGGGCGCACGGUGGAUGCCUUGGCACUAGGAGCCGAAGAAGGACGGGACUAACACCGAUAUGCUUUGGGGAGCUGUACGUAAGCGUUGAUCCAGAGAUUUCCGAAUGGGGGAACCCACUAUCUUUAGUCGGAUAGUAUCCUUACGUGAAUACAUAGCGUGAGGAAGGCAGACCCAGGGAACUGAAACAUCUAAGUACCUGGAGGAAGAGAAAGAAAAAUCGAUUUCCUGAGUAGCGGCGAGCGAAACGGAAAGAGCCCAAACCAAGAAGCUUGCUUCUUGGGGUUGUAGGACACUCUAUACGGAGUUACAAAAGAAAGUUAUAAAUGAAGCGGUCUGGAAAGGCCCGCCAAAGACGGUAACAGCCCGGUAGUUGAAAUGGCUUUCCCUCCAGAGUGGAUCCUGAGUACGGCGGAACACGUGAAAUUCCGUCGGAAUCCGGGAGGACCAUCUCCCAAGGCUAAAUACUCCCUAGUGACCGAUAGUGAACCAGUACCGUGAGGGAAAGGUGAAAAGCACCCCGGAAGGGGAGUGAAACAGUUCCUGAAACCGUGUGCCUACAAGUAGUUAGAGCCCGUUAAUGGGUGAUAGCGUGCCUUUUGUAGAAUGAACCGGCGAGUUACGAUUUGUUGCAAGGUUAAGCGGAAAAAGCGGAGCCGUAGCGAAAGCGAGUCUGAAUAGGGCGCAUAAGUAACAGGUCGUAGACCCGAAACCAGGUGAUCUACCCAUGUCCAGGAUGAAGGUAAGGUAAUACUUACUGGAGGUCCGAACCCACGCACGUUGAAAAGUGCGGGGAUGAGGUGUGGGUAGCGGAGAAAUUCCAAUCGAACUUGGAGAUAGCUGGUUCUCUCCGAAAUAGCUUUAGGGCUAGCCUCGAGGUAAAGAGUCAUGGAGGUAGAGCACUGUUUGGACUAGGGGCCCUUCUCGGGUUACCGAAUUCAGAUAAACUCCGAAUGCCAUGUACUUAUACUCGGGAGUCAGACUGCGAGUGAUAAGAUCCGUAGUCGAAAGGGAAACAGCCCAGACCACCAGUUAAGGUCCCCAAAUAUAUGUUAAGUGGAAAAGGAUGUGGGGUUGCUUAGACAACCAGGAUGUUGGCUUAGAAGCAGCCACCAUUGAAAGAGUGCGUAAUAGCUCACUGGUCGAGUGACCCCGCGCCGAAAAUGUACCGGGGCUAAACAUAUUACCGAAACUGUGGAUGAACCUCUUUAGAGGUUCGUGGUAGGAGAGCGUUCUAAGGGCGGUGAAGUCAGACCGGAAGGACUGGUGGAGCGCUUAGAAGUGAGAAUGCCGGUAUGAGUAGCGAAAGAAGGGUGAGAAUCCCUUCCACCGAAUAUCUAAGGUUUCCUGAGGAAGGCUCGUCCGCUCAGGGUUAGUCGGGACCUAAGCCGAGGCCGAUAGGCGUAG